This is a long non-coding RNA of Drosophila sulfurigaster albostrigata, 2429 nucleotides long. RefSeq lists it as uncharacterized. NCBI's taxonomy places the organism in Eukaryota, Metazoa, Arthropoda, Insecta, Diptera, Drosophilidae. The transcript is spliced from 2 exons. The record is from RefSeq and is a predicted model, not a curated record.
GUUAUUGAAAAGCGAGCGCAAGGCAAGAAAGACGAAGCGAAGGCGCCGCUGCUGCUGCGAAUGUCGCGCACGCUGUCGUCAUCGCGGCAAAAAAAAAAAAAAACAGAAAAUAGAAGAAAAGAAAAGAGGGAGCAGCUAGCUAGCAAAAAGCAAAAAAAAAAAAUAGAAAUCCCUUUACUAUAUUUGCACUCAAUACUCAUUGUUUGCCAUUUCGCGCACACACACACUCAUUUAUCUCUGUGUGUGUGUUUCUCCAUCUCGUGACUCGGCAUUGUUGAGUAUAUUGACUCCUGGUCACACACAAAUUAAUUUUUGUCGUCCCCGCUGUCGCCUGUGUUGCUGUUGAAAAUCAACUAAUAAUUGCUACAGAGUGUGAUGACAACCUAAGGAAGUGCGGGUGGCCUCCCUAUAAAUGUAUAUGUAUGCGUGUAUGUGUGAGUGACCUCGUGUCUGUGUGUCGCGUGCUUGUGCCUGUGUAUGUGUGUGUCGGCAGCGGCAAGGAGUGUCAUGCGUAUUUGCUGCUUCUUCCCCACACACAUAUAUAUAUACUCCCCCUAAACCACUCCCCAAACCGCUUUGGCAUCAUACACAACAACAACAGCCAGAAGAACGCUGCUCCUUUGCUCCAACGAGUUUUAUCUUGUUUUCCGUAUUAAUCAUAUGCGGGCGCAGAGAGGCAAUCACGUCAUCCAGCUUGACACGCACACACACACACUCAGCCAUACACUAUAAAGUCAUUUGUGUGAAGUUUAGAGCUGAGAGCGAAGCCGCAAUGGCAGCCAAGUUUAGAACCGAUAUCUGCCUUUGUGUGUGUAGGCGGCGCGUGAAUUCAAUCGUUAUUUUUUCCAUUUCAUUUAAAGCUUAAUCAAUUUAAUUAACUAUCUACAAACAUACAUAAACACAUAUGCAUAGCCAUUAUAAUUGGCAUUUAUUAAUCAUAUUAAUAUUGUUAUAGUUCAAGUUAGAUAUUUUUGAAAGCUGCGACAGCAGCAUCGCAUCAUCAUCAACAUCAUCGGCGACUACGUCAAUUUUGUUUUUGUUCUCGUUUUCGCAUGCGUGUGUGUGCUUGUGUGAGUUCAGUAAAUAAACGAUGACCGGGGCACUGAGUCAUGAUGUCGACUUGAUGACGUUAUGCUGCGCUAAAAGGCAAUUUGUCUUGGGAAAGUGCUCCGAACUUUGCCAAUAAAACUGGCCAAAAAACUUUAUCAAAAUUAUAUGUUUCUUCUCACACACAUAACACACAAACAAUUGUACUCAAAAUCAGCUUAGAUCGAUUUCGAGCUAACAAACGAUAACAUUUGUUGCCGUCACACAUAUUUAUCGUAGAUCGAUAACGAUUUCUCUUCCCAAAAUUGAUCAUUUUUCUUGCCAUCACUGAUGCGCGCUGUGUAUCGAGCAGCUCAUCAGCUGAUAUUUUUCAAAUUGCUGCCAACAAUUAGGAAAUAAAUAAAAAUUAUAUUACAUGACGCGUCGUCCGUGGUAUGAAGGCGAGAGCGCGCCUUUUGUUUUUCAACGCAACGAAAUUAGCUUAGCAGCCAGACAGCCAGCAGCGACAGCUACCCAGCUAAAAAUCAUGUCGAAACCGCUUUUAGGCAGAUCAUCAGUAUCGUCUCCCCUACUCUCUCUCUCUCUCUACACGAUGUUAUGUUCCGUUCCUGCGGCAGCUUUUUGCCCAUUGGCCGCCGUUGCCGAUACGUGAACGAUUCACGUUGUUGUCGCUAACGUUGUCGAGUCUCGUAUAUUUGUAUUAAAAUACUGCAAUGAGCUCUUUAUCUUAAUGCGAUAUACUAUAAAUGUAUGUGUGUGUAUGUAUACACAUUUGUUUGAGUGUAGGAUAUGUGCGUAUGAUUUUUGAUGGGACGAAUGUCGUCGCAUUCACGUCCGCGGCGGGGUAAACAAACUCCCGCUGUUGCUUUGCGGCUGCUGCUGAUAACGUUGCUUUUGCUGCUGCUGCUGUCAUCCGCCUCAAAAAAAAAAAUGAAAUAAAAUAAAGCAACAGCAAAAACAAUGAGCUAAUAACAAAUCCGUACGACUUUUAUCAGUCAGCCAUGACGACGUCGACGUCGCUGUCGACCGAUGGCCGAGUGAGCAUUUUGUUGCCGCUGCUGCUGCUCUGCGGCGCUGUAUGCUCUUUUUUUGCCUACUCGCUCGGUUGCUGAGCAGUUGCUAGUUCAGUCUGCUCGCUGAAUUCGUUGCGUUACGUUUACGUUUACGUUGCUUUCCGUUCCGUCGUUGUUGUGUUCCGUGUCCGUUGCUUUUUUGCCAUUUCUCGGUUUGUCGGUGUUUUGUCGUUUGUAGUUGUAGCAGUGUUGCCUUAGUACUCAUUAACUAUUUGGCCAGUGUCAUAAAGUUCUCAACCGAAAAAACUGAAAUUCGAACGUGAACAACUAAAGACAAAUUGCCAACGAAAGAAAAGAAAAAUCCAAUAA